Molecule: long non-coding RNA, 1823 nt
Organism: Cercocebus atys (sooty mangabey)
Lineage: Eukaryota; Metazoa; Chordata; Mammalia; Primates; Cercopithecidae
Exons: 4
Source: RefSeq, a predicted model, not a curated record
GGUGAAGGGAACAAGGAACUGAGGUCAAGGAAAUGUAAAUGGGGUGAAGGGAACAAGGAACUGAGGUCAAGGAAAUGUAAAUGGGUGAAGGGAACAAGGAGCUGAGGCCAAGCUCUCGGAGGAGUUAUCAGGAGGGAAAUUCAGCUCGUUCAACCUUGUGGCUGGAGUUGCAGUAGCGAAUGUGUCUGUGAAAGAGAAGUCCAGGCCAACCACUCAUGAAACGGAGGGACUGAGCGGCAGGGAUGCAGUGGUGAGAAGGAGGUGGACUGAGCCAUGCACCAUGUUGCCAGAGGAGCAGAGUGUUCCCAGGAGGGCAGAGAAGACAUGUCUAGAGAUGACACUACCGAAUAAAGUCAACAACUCCACGUUUUCUUCCUGAAUUGAGAACCUUCCAUUUCCCCCUGGUUGAAAUGCAUUAGUUGCCAUGGAAACUGCGAUCCCCCCGGUGUGGAUGGAGCCGAAUGACACCUACAAUUGCAGAGCACGGUUGGCGUCGCCAGGGCUGGGAAAUGGGCAUCGUGGCUGGAGAGUGCACUGAAGGGCACAGAUGAGAAUAAUGACAGCACACAGCACAACCGUCAGGGGCGGAUGCAGCACCCCUGGGUCAGAAGUCGUGGAAGAAACCAUGGAUGUCUGUGUGUGUGCUGGGGGUUGUCUCAAUAAUGUCCAUUUCACCGGCCUCAAUGUAGAGAUUAAACCCGCUUACAGGGAAGACCUAGCAGAAUCAUUGUUGACUGAAUGACUGAGCCCAUAAGAGGAUGUGCUCACCAUGAAGCGAGGAAGCCACAUGCGAAGCACAUUGAGCUGCUGCUUCUGCAGCUGGGAGGCCUGGCGCAGGGUCUUGCCAUAGCCAAGGGCUCCGGGCGGAGGACGUGGAGAGACGUGCACGCUCAGCUCCCUGUGCAGUUCGUGGUUCACGAGACACCCAAAACGCAACGGUCUCCUGUCUAAAUGGAAUUAACUCAGUCUCACUCACAAACAUCAGGGAGGGACUCACCGCACAAGCAAAUCCAGACUAUCUGAGAACUGGCGACUAUCUGAGACUAUCUGAGACUCACAAGCAAAUCACAAGCAGAUAGUCUGGAUUUGCUCACAAGCAAAUCCAGACUAUCUGAGACUAUCUGAGAGUGUCGGAAGAAAGCUGCAUGUGAUGGGCCUCUCUGGAAAUUAUCUGAGGUUUCCUUUAAAACACAGUCCUUGAGGUCGACUGAAGGCAAGGAGGCUGCGCAACCAGCAGAUGUGAGGAAUGAAGCCGCCGAGGAAACUGAUCUCAGACCUGAGGCAGUUUCUAAGAUGGUGUGGGGAGGCGGGGAGGGGAAUGCUGAAUAAUAAGAUUACUCAGAGCUGCUAACGAUCCUGAUUCAGUAAUUUUCUGCUUAAAAAGGCACUUCGACCUUUUCCAAACCCAGAUGUAUGCAUCUUAAUGGAAGGUCGUUCCCAUGCACAGCGAAUGCAGCCUAGAUUUAUAAGAGAAACUCUGAUAGAUUCCUCAGCCAAGUGAGAGGGAUGACACUGCUCCUAUUUAUUAGGUAAAUGAUCUAUUUUAUAUGUACAUGCACAUAAUGCAUAAAUUACGCAAAACAGUCUCAGCAUGGUUAAUGAACAUGCCUGAAGGCUAAUAAAAAAAGUGCUUAUCUAGUUCUUUUAUUUUUUUCUCCUUUAUGCAUAACAGCAUUUUACUUAAUAGCAUAAAUCAAACUGAAAGACCAUCUGUAUUAAAACUUAAAUAACUUUUCGGGCUGUCUAUAGGCAUAAAAUGAAGUGCCUAAGGUAGAAACAGCGUUCACAUUGCCCUGAGAUGAAAGGCUUACCUGCAAUCUGUA